This 28-nucleotide non-coding RNA is filed under the name Bombyx mori (domestic silkworm). Lineage: Eukaryota; Metazoa; Arthropoda; Insecta; Lepidoptera; Bombycidae. The record is from RNAcentral.
UGAUGUGAUUCCCAACGCCACCACGGGU